This 310-nucleotide ribosomal RNA is filed under the name uncultured bacterium. RNAcentral describes it as "partial 16S ribosomal RNA". It matches the Rfam family "Bacterial small subunit ribosomal RNA", at positions 503 to 807 of the family's 1533-position model. The record is from RNAcentral.
AAGAGACAGCAGUAGCCGCGGGAAUACAGAGGGUGCGAGCGUUAAUCGGAUUUACUGGGCGUAAAGCGUGCGUAGGCGGCUUCUUAAGUCGGAUGUGAAAUCCCUGAGCUUAACUUAGGAAUUGCAUUCGAUACUGGGAAGCUAGAGUAUGGGAGAGGAUGGUAGAAUUCCAGGUGUAGCGGUGAAAUGCGUAGAGAUCUGGAGGAAUACCGAUGGCGAAGGCAGCCAUCUGGCCUAAUACUGACGCUGAGGUACGAAAGCAUGGGGAGCAAACAGGAUUAGAUACCCCAGUAGUCCCUGUCUCUUAUAC